UGUAUAAUGGGUCAGCGACUUAUAUUCUGUAGCAAGGUUAACCGAAUAGGGGAGCCGAAGGGAAACCGAGUCUUAACUGGGCGUUAAGUUGCAGGGUAUAGACCCGAAACCCGGUGAUCUAGCCAUGGGCAGGUUGAAGGUUGGGUAACACUAACUGGAGGACCGAACCGACUAAUGUUGAAAAAUUAGCGGAUGACUUGUGGCUGGGGGUGAAAGGCCAAUCAAACCGGGAGAUAGCUGGUUCUCCCCGAAAGCUAUUUAGGUAGCGCCUCGUGAAUUCAUCUCCGGGGGUAGAGCACUGUUUCGGCAAGGGGGUCAUCCCGACUUACCAACCCGAUGCAAACUGCGAAUACCGGAGAAUGUUAUCACGG
RNAcentral lists this ribosomal RNA (371 nucleotides) under Escherichia coli. RNAcentral's name for it is "partial 23S ribosomal RNA". It matches the Rfam family "Bacterial large subunit ribosomal RNA", at positions 609 to 980 of the family's 2925-position model. Lineage: Bacteria; Pseudomonadati; Pseudomonadota; Gammaproteobacteria; Enterobacterales; Enterobacteriaceae. The record is from RNAcentral.